Molecule: ribosomal RNA, 253 nt
Filed under: uncultured prokaryote
Description: partial 16S ribosomal RNA
Rfam family: Bacterial small subunit ribosomal RNA
Source: RNAcentral
UACGGAGGGUCCGAGCGUUAUCCGGAAUUAUUGGGUUUAAAGGGUCCGUAGGCGGAUCAUUAAGUCAGGGGUGAAAUGGUGCGGCUCAACCGUAGCACUGCCUUUGAUACUGGUGGUCUUGAGUUAUGGUGAAGUGGCCGGAAUAUGUAGUGUAGCGGUGAAAUGCAUAGAUAUUACAUAGAACACCGAUUGCGAAGGCAGGUCACUAACCAUAUACUGACGCUGAUGGACGAAAGCGUGGGGAGCGAACAGG